GCUGGCACAGUGGUGUGUGCCUGUAGUCCCAGCUACUGGGGAGGCUAAGGUGGGAAGAUUGCUUGAGCCCAGGAGCUCUGGGCUCUAGCACAGGCUAUAACCAAUUGGGUGUCUGCACUAAGUUUGGCAUCUAUAUGGUGACCUCCCAGGAGCUGGAGUGGGGAUUGGGGACCUCCAGGUUGCCUAAGAAAGAGUGACCCAGCCCAGGUCAGAAACAGAGCAGGUCAAAACUCCUCGUGCUGAUCAGUAGUGAGGUCAUGCCUAUGAGUCGCCACUGCACUCCGGUCUGGAACUUGCAUUGUGAAAUCA
Molecule: signal recognition particle RNA, 309 nt
Filed under: Microcebus murinus (gray mouse lemur)
Lineage: Eukaryota; Metazoa; Chordata; Mammalia; Primates; Cheirogaleidae
Description: Metazoan signal recognition particle RNA (ENSMICG00000037587.2)
Rfam family: Metazoan signal recognition particle RNA
About the family: The signal recognition particle (SRP) is a universally conserved ribonucleoprotein.
Source: RNAcentral